UAUACUGUACACAGACGAAAACGGUUUUGGAUAGCUGAGCUUCAGCUCCGGCACGUCGAUUCUCUCACUUUUUUUUUUUUUUUUCGUUUUUCCCAUCCCACCGUCAAAAUCCGAAGAUGUGGACUCUGCAACUACCGAGUGGCAGAGCUCUAGUUCUUGAUCGGUCAUCGGCGCCAUUACUAGACCGAUUCUCUUCUUCGUUUUGGAGUGGAAACCUGUGCUUCGACAAUGGAAGUUCCGCUGCUAUUGGAAGAGAGAAGCAGCGUUUGCGAAUCGGUGGUGGUGGAGCUGUUAGGAUUAUCGCAAUGGCGAGUGAUUCUUUGUCGUCGCCGUUGAAGAUGAACUUGAACGAGUAUAUGGUUACUCUGCAGAAACCACUAGGCAUUCGAUUCGCGCUCUCGGUGGACGGCAAAAUCUUCGUUCACGCUCUGAAGAGAGGAGUACUUUCACUCGGCAAUGCAGAGAAGUCGAGGAUUGUCAUGGUUGGUGACACUUUGAAGAAGGCAAAUGAGUCACCUGAUGGCAGACUUAUUGAGGUCAAGGACUUCGGCGAUAUGCAGAAAAUGCUGAAAGAGAAGACAGGAUCAUUUAGCCUGAUCCUUGAGAGACCAUUCUCUCCUUUUCCCAUUCAACAGUUGCUUAAUUUGAACGAGCUUGAUAUUUCAUUUAAUAAAGGUCGAGUUCCUAUUGCCACUUGGAACAAAACUAUAUCAGCAUUGAAUUUGCAGACAUCUUCUGAAAGCAGUGGGAAUUCUGGAUUUGUGACGUUCUCCUCGAAGUUUCUAAAUUCACAAGGUUGGAAAUUUUUGAAUGACCAAAAUGGAUAUGUUCACUCACAAAUGCAGAAGAGCACUCCUACCCAACUUAGCCAAGUAGUUAGUAUUUUUACUGAAGAUGAGUCUGGAGAGGGAGAAUGGGCUCAUGGGAAUUUUCCACUAGAGGAAUAUAUAAAGGCACUCGAACGCUCUAAAGAUGAACUGUACUAUGAUCACUCUCUUGGUAUGCGCUACAGUAAGAUUACAGAGCAGAUAUAUGUUGGAUCCUGUAUACAAACAGAAGAUGAUGUAAAGACAUUAUCAAAUGUUGCGGGAGUCACGGCUGUACUGAAUUUCCAAAGUGUAACUGAGGCAGAAAAUUGGGGAAUCAAAUCAAAUUCAAUCAAAGAGAUAUGUCAAAAAUUCAGUAUCCUGAUGAUCAACUAUCCUAUUAGGGAGGGUGAUUCUUUUGACAUGAGGAAGAAACUACCAUUCUGCGUGGGGCUACUAUUACGAUUGUUAAAAAAGAAUCACCGUGUUUUUGUUACUUGCACAACAGGUUUUGAUCGAUCUCCUGCAUGCGUGACAGCAUAUCUGCACUGGAUGACUGAUACUUCUCUUAAUGCAGCAUACAAUUUUGUCACCAGUUUGCAUUCAAGCAAGCCUGACAGACCAGCAAUUGCAUGGGCAACAUGGGAUCUCAUAGCAAUGGUGGAAAAUGGCAGACAUGAUGGACCUCCAACACAUGCUGUGACAUUUGUGUGGACGGGGCAAGAGGGGGAAGAUGUAAAUUUAGUUGGAGAUUUCACUGGAAAUUGGAAAGAACCAAUUCGUGCAAAUCACAUAAGUGGACCAAGAUAUGAAGUAGAAGUCCGACUACCACAUGGAAAGUUUUACUACAAGUUCAUUGUAAAUGGGCAAUGGCGACAUUCAUCAGCUUCACCGGCAGAAAGGGAUGAAAGGGGAAAUGUCAACAAUGUAAUUGUGAUUGGUGAUACUGCUAGUGUGAAGCCUUCUGUUCAACAGCAAAAGAAAGAUGCAAAUAUUGUGAAAGUGAUUGAGAGGCCAUUGACAGAAAAUGAGCGCUUCAUGCUGGCAAAAGCAGCUCGCUGUGUAGCAUUCUCUGUUUGCCCAAUCAGACUAGCUCCAAAGUAGAAUUGCCAAAUGAUGAGGUCACUAGUUUGGAUGUUAAUAAUAACAUGCAUGGUAUUGUGGCUAGAAUUCUUCAAAAGAUUCUUCUUGAGACAAAAGUUAUCUCAGGAAAUCAGUCGAGAGAUUAUAGAAUUCUACACCACUAGUCUUCCUGAGGCAUGAAAUUGUCUUGCCAAUUACUUUCUGCUAUAGUACAGACUUUUCGCCAAGGUAAGAUGCCAAGACUUCAUAAAGCGGUGAAGUGAUUCAACGUUAAGGUUGCUUUUGUUCAUGCCUUUAACCUACGCUCUGUAGUCAAUGUUGUACUAUUCUGUAUUUCUCUAAGACUACCCGUUAGCAUGCAUGGACCUCAAUGUUGGAUAAAACUGCAUUAAAGGGAUUUUUACUGCCUAUUCUUGUGGGACAAAAUGGUAGUGAAAAUGUCUCUGUCGAUCUCAUUUGUUCGUUCCCUUGUAGAUAUCACAGUGAAGGAUUAGAAACGGUGCCUUGCUACUUCUUGUUCCAUGGAAAAUUAGAACAACAAGGACAAGCAAAACAGGUAAUAUUCAUUCUCAGGAUCCAAAAAACUCUUACAUUCUCUCGCGAAGUUAAUAAAAAAAAUAAAUAAAUAAAUCCGUGUAUUCUGCAGAUUCACUAAUUCUGAGUAGAUACGAGUAAUAAUUCUUUUCUCUUUCUAACUAAAGCUUCAUUUAUCUUGUCCAGUGUCUUGUAUUUCUUUGA
RNA transcript from Ziziphus jujuba (common jujube), 2627 nucleotides. It is a transcript of the gene named phosphoglucan phosphatase LSF1, chloroplastic, with no coding region annotated. NCBI's taxonomy places the organism in Eukaryota, Viridiplantae, Streptophyta, Magnoliopsida, Rosales, Rhamnaceae. The record is from RefSeq and is a predicted model, not a curated record. The transcript has 11 exons.